GACGAACGCUGGCGGCGUGCUUAACACAUGCAAGUCGAACGGAAAGGCCCUGCUUUUGUGGGAUGCUCGAGUGGCGAACGGGUGAGUAACACGUGAGUAACCUGCCCUUGACUUUGGGAUAACUUCAGGAAACUGGGGCUAAUACCGGAUAGGAGCUCCUGCUGCAUGGUGGGGGUUGGAAAGUUUCGGCGGUUGGGGACGGACUCGCGGCUUAUCAGCUUGUUGGUGGGGUAGUGGCUUACCAAGGCUUUGACGGGUAGCCGGCCUGAGAGGGUGACCGGCCACAUUGGGACUGAGAUACGGCCGAGACUCCUGCGGGAGGCAGGAGUGGGGAAUAUUGCAAAAUGGGCAGAAGCCUGAUGCAGCCACGCCGCGUGCGGGAUAACGGCCUUCGGGUUGUAAACCGCUUGCGCCUGUGACGAAGCGUGAGUGACGGUAAUGGGUAAAGAAGCACCGGCUAACUACGUG
This 468-nucleotide ribosomal RNA is filed under the name uncultured bacterium. Its description in RNAcentral is "partial 16S ribosomal RNA". It matches the Rfam family "Bacterial small subunit ribosomal RNA", at positions 28 to 507 of the family's 1533-position model. The record is from RNAcentral.